UUUAAUGACAUAAAUACAUAGAGACUAUUAUGAAUAAUACCUUAUGUCACACCCGGAUUUCAGGGGCACCAAGACCCGGGCGCGAACAUAAUCACCAGGUGUGCUGGGACCAAGUCUCACACAUAUGAUGAAUCAUGGCACGGGAUCGAAUGUCACAUCUUUACUACAUGACAGGAGUUCUAUACAAAAUAAAUAAAUAGUUACAUUAUAAGGAGACAACGGUCCAGCAACCCAAAGUUGACUGGGAGACGACGGCCUAGAUCUCUCUCACGAACUCAUCGCAACAUCCUCCAUGCGCCUCAUCCUGUGGUACCUGUUCUUGACCUGUGGGGGGUGUGAGACAGCAAGAGUGAGCUCACAUACGUUCAUCGCUCAACAAGUUGUGGGGAAUAAUGUGCAUGAACUCGCCAAAGGUGGGAGCUCACGUGAAGUGUAAGGCUUACCAAAGAGGAUGGUUAGAGCUGAGCAUUGCUUUUAAAGUUGGUCAAAAUUUUAUUAGCAGUUACUAAGUAUAAGUAAAUACCAAACCCAAUUAAGUAGUAGAACAAAAGUAACAACAUCACCUGCGAUGCAAUGCAUAUGACAAAUUGAAUUUAGUUCCAUAAAUUAAUCAUCAGAGAGUCCUGAGCUGCUCAUGACCGUGAGCUCGGCUAGUAUACCAGUUUUACACUCUGCAGAGGUGGUACCCUUUACCCACAAGUCAUGUUACCCAUCUGCCAAGGGAUCGCGACUUCCCAUACACCUCUACCGAGGAGGCGAGGCAGGGUAACACUACGAGGCCUUUACAAAGUUCCACUAGCUUCAGAAAACCCGCUACAGUUUAUAGGAAGCUCCAAUGUAGGGUUCUUGCCUGACCGCCAUCGCAGCAAAAUCAACCAAGGACCUCCCUACACUGACCACUCCCCUACUGCCCUUGCCCCUUUCGGGUAAGGUAGUCCUCCACUAGCUUUCCUAAUUAAUCAGCCAAGGGCGUCCAUAAACCCUUGUGGUGGCACGUGUUUCUCAAGUUAAGCUCUAUGUUCCAAUUAACAUUAAUGAUCUUGACAUGAACAUAAAUAGAAUAACAAAAUAACUGGAACAUAGAUAUGAUAAAUAAUUAUCCCAAAUCCAUGUAAAGCAAUAGCAAACUACCCAAGUGAUUCAGGGGUAAACAAGGUAAUGAUAUAAAUAAUCUAGGGUAACCUAUUGGGUCCCAUCAAAAUUAACCUAUGCAUGAAUAAAUGAUAUUAAAGAACAUUAUUGGGUAGAAAGUGGUCAAGGGCACAACUUGCCUGGGACUUGAGAUUCCAGGUAACAGGAUGAUCUUCAGGUGACUCGUGACCUCGCGCUAGUCGUAGCAAUACAAACAAACAUAAUAUAGACAAAAUUAACAUCACACCAAACAUAAGAACGGACUGCAUAAUAACGAUCUACGUGUUGCUACGAGACUAACGCAACUGGAACGAGUCAAAUCGUAGUUAAAACGAAGGAGUUAUGAUUUUCCUAAGGUUUCAUGUACUUGAUAUAGGAUUAAUUAGGAAAUAGAUUUUUUUAAAGUGGCUUUCAUGUCAUAUCAGUGGCACUAUUUGAUAAACAAUAAUAUUAUAAAAUUAUAGGACCUAAAAUGGGUCAAUUCAGAGUUACGGUGAUCGAGUUAUGUUUUUCUGAACUUUUAGGUGAUUAAAUAUAGAACAAAAUAAGUGCAUUAUUUUAAUCUAUAUUUCAUGACAAAAUGAAGUUACCUGAUGAUAAACAAUAUCACUAUGGGUUUAUUGCAAUUUGAACGGACCGAAAAGGAGUUAAAUUCAUCAAGAUAUGAAUUUCCUAAGAUUGGGAACACUAUUUUUCUAUACUAAAAUGAUUUCUGGAUUUAGUUUAGUUUAUUUCUUAAUUAUCUGGGCUACGCGUCAAAUAUCAGAGAAUGCAGGGGCUCGGUGUAACUCUUCCAAUGACUCAGUUAUCUACCAGGACGGACCGCGGGUUGAAUCCCUAUGAACAGAAGGGUUCUUUAAGAUAUGUACACGCCGAAGGGGUAUGCAGCGCCUGGGAUCGCCCGAUUAGAGAUUGACGCAUAGGAUUAGAUCCUCUCCCUAUGCGAACAGGUAUGCACCGCUGACCAUUGGAUCAACGAUCGGACGGCGCCGGUUUAAUGAAUCCUAAAGCGAUGUCCAUCAUCCGAUCUCGAUCGGACGGAUAGCAGUCGCCCAAGCCGAAUGGGUGAGCCACAUCUAAUCUCUAUCGUCCGUUCAGAUCAAACGGUAGAGGCGUCUUCUUCCCCCCGACGCACUACAGGGCCGCGCCAGCACACCCGAACGGCGGCGCCCUCGCCGGAGAGCGUGAAUCCGACCCUCACGAACGCCAUACCCCGAUUCACUCGGCCCUCGCCGGAUUGACGACUUCCCAAACUCAAUCCCCAAACAAAUUUCGGCCGACAUCGAGCACAGGAAACGGUCCACGGCGCACAGAUCACGACGGUAGUAUAUCAGCCACGCGACCUGAAGGACCACACGCUUCCACUCAAUAAAGCCGCUCCCCAUCAAACUGGCGGGACUGCGCAACUUGCCGGAGCGAGCACCAUCAUUCUUCCGAGCGCUCAUUCCCCACAGCUACUAGCGCAACACGAAGAAGUAACGGGAAAAGAAAUUAGUACGAGGUGUUCCUUACCGUUGGAAUUGGGGUGCAGUUCUCAGCCCAUGGUGCUACGCGGUCUCGCGGCGGAGGAAUAUCCCAGCGUUGAAUCCAUGACGGUGCUGAACCGGUGGUCCACUCCACGCUCUCUAACGCCGGCACGAUCCUGCGCACCCCCAGCUUCCCGGUUAAAGCCCUUCGAUGGCACGCGGGCGGAGUAGCCGUUGUGGCUCUCGGCGGCUACCAAGUUCUCUGUCCUUGCGUGGUUAUGGUGUUUGGUUCCC
RNAcentral lists this long non-coding RNA (2891 nucleotides) under Zea mays. RNAcentral's name for it is "long non-coding RNA (ZMAY_LNC004518)". The record is from RNAcentral. Lineage: Eukaryota; Viridiplantae; Streptophyta; Magnoliopsida; Poales; Poaceae.